UAGAGAGUGACCCUUACCUAGAGGAGGAAGAUGGUAGGGCUGAAUUUUUAAGGGUUUUGACUCCAAGAAGCCAAGCAGCUUUGUUUUCUUCUCCUCCUGCUGCUUUGCCUGACAUAUAACAUCACCACGUAGGAGGAAGCUACUGUGGCCUCCUACCAGUCCUUCUCCAUUCACUGGCUUAGUUGGGAUGUCCCGCGUUGAAAAGAACAAAGGAACAAGAAAUAAUAAAAGGGUUCACCACGUAAAAUUAAUAGAUUAAAAAAUUCGAUUGAAAGAUAAGAAAUGAAGAAGCAGGAGCUGUUGAGAGCACAAGACAGCUGCGUGAUAUAGGGGAAGCAGAAGCAGAGUCACAUCUAUGACAGACACGACCAAACUUGGAGCUUUUUUGCAUUCCAGCCUAAAUUUCACAAUUACGACAGACACGACUGCACUCUUCUAUUCAUUGCUGCCAUGAUCUCUGAUUAUCGUUUGCAACCUCUAUGUUGAUUGAGAGGAUACAGUCAAUGUACACAUUAUAUGGAUGCCAUAGUUGUAUCAGAUACAAACUUCGCUUUCAUCAUCAUGGAAACAUAUAUAUUCCUGUAACAAAGAUAUGUUUAUCACAGGAAUGGGCCACAAUGACAUGACUGUCCACUUACUCCAGCUGCUGCAAGAUAAUUGAAAGUAUUUGUAUUUGGUUCCCUUCUAGGCUUAUAGUUAUGGAAGCUAUUGGUUUAGCUAAAAAGAAAAGCAAGAUGAGAGUGUUUCACGAAGAAUUUAGAAAUGAAUACUAUGGGAGUACCUCAUCAUAUCAUAGGUUAGCUAUUUCAGGGA
This is a long non-coding RNA of Populus trichocarpa (black cottonwood), 813 nucleotides long. RefSeq lists it as uncharacterized. Lineage: Eukaryota; Viridiplantae; Streptophyta; Magnoliopsida; Malpighiales; Salicaceae. The transcript has 2 exons. The record is from RefSeq and is a predicted model, not a curated record.